UACGGGGGGGGCAAGCGUUGUUCGGAAUUACUGGGCGUAAAGGGCGCGUAGGCGGUUCGCUAAGUUGGAUGUGAAAACUCUGGGCUUAACCCAGAGCCUGCAUCCAAAACUGGCGAACUGGAGUACUGGAGGGGAAAGCGGAAUUCCUGGUGUAGCGGUGAAAUGCGUAGAUAUCUGGAGGAAUACCGGUGGCGAAGGCGGCAUCCUGGACCGAGAUUGACGCUGAUGAGCGAAAGCUAGGGGAGCAAACGGG
RNAcentral lists this ribosomal RNA (253 nucleotides) under uncultured bacterium. Its description in RNAcentral is "partial 16S ribosomal RNA". It matches the Rfam family "Bacterial small subunit ribosomal RNA", at positions 524 to 776 of the family's 1533-position model. The record is from RNAcentral.